Molecule: ribosomal RNA, 523 nt
Filed under: uncultured bacterium
Lineage: Bacteria
Description: bacterial SSU rRNA
Rfam family: Bacterial small subunit ribosomal RNA
Source: RNAcentral
AGAAUUGAUCUUGGUCAGAACGAACGCUGGCGGCGCGUUUAAGCAUGCAAGUCGAGCGGCAAGGGCCUUCGGGCCCCUAGAGCGGCGGACGGGUGAGUAACACGUGGACAAUCUGCCCCCCGGCCCGGGAUAGCCCAGGGAAACCUGGAUUAAUACCGGAUGAGACGGGACCCGCGAUGGCGGGACCCGGGAAAGGCGCUGCGGCGCCGCCGGGGGAUGAGUCUGCGUCCCAUUAGCUAGACGGCGGGGUAACGGCCCACCGUGGCGACGAUGGGUAGCCGGCCUGAGAGGGUGGACGGCCACAUUGGAACUGAGACACGGUCCAGACUCCUACGGGAGGCAGCAGCUAAGAAUCCUUCCGACAAGUGGGACGAAAGCCUGACGGAGCGACGCCCGCGUGAACGAAGAAGGCCGUGAGGUUAGUAAAGUUCGUUUCGGGAGGGGGAACAACCGUGGCAGGGAAUGGCCGCGGGAUGACGUGAAUCCCGGAAUAAGCCCCGGCUAACUACGUGCCAGCAGCCGC